RNAcentral lists this ribosomal RNA (301 nucleotides) under uncultured bacterium. RNAcentral describes it as "partial 16S ribosomal RNA". It matches the Rfam family "Bacterial small subunit ribosomal RNA", at positions 509 to 809 of the family's 1533-position model. The record is from RNAcentral.
CAGCCGCCACGGGAAUACGGAGGGAGCUAGCGUUGUUCGGAAUUACUGGGCGUAAAGCGCGCGUAGGCGGUUACUCAAGUCAGAGGUGAAAGCCCGGGGCUCAACCCCGGAACUGCCUUUGAAACUAGGUGACUAGAAUCUUGGAGAGGUCAGUGGAAUUCCGAGUGUAGAGGUGAAAUUCGUAGAUAUUCGGAAGAACACCAGUGGCGAAGGCGACCACCUGGACUGAUACUGACACUGAGGUGCGAAAGCGUGGGGAGCAAACAGGAUUAGAUACCCCAGUAGUCCCUGUCUCUUAUCC